UGGAAGCGCAGUGAGAUGGGGAGGAGUAGUACGGGAGGUGGUAGCGUGAAGCGGAAUGGAUAGGGGUAAAGGGUGCGGAGGCUGGGUUGUAAGACAGGUGAGAAAGACCCUGGGUUAACGUGGGAACUGCAGUGGUGGCUGCAAAGCUAGAGGGCGGCAGAGGGGGAUGGAAUUCCGCGGGUAGCAGUGAAAUGCGUAGAUAUGCGGAGGAACACCGAUGGCGAAGGCAAUCCCCUGGGCCUGCACUGACGCUCAUGCACGAAAGCGUGGGGAGCAAACAGGAUUAGAUACCCCGUAGUC
This 300-nucleotide ribosomal RNA is filed under the name uncultured Selenomonas sp. Its description in RNAcentral is "bacterial SSU rRNA". The stretch from base 53 to 300 matches the Rfam family "Bacterial small subunit ribosomal RNA", at positions 547 to 795 of the family's 1533-position model. Lineage: Bacteria; Bacillati; Bacillota; Negativicutes; Selenomonadales; Selenomonadaceae. The record is from RNAcentral.